AGGGUUCGAUCAUGGCUCAGGACGAACGCUGGCGGCGUGCCUAACACAUGCAAGUCGAACGAGAAUCUCAGAACAGAUUCUUUCGGGAUGAAGUUUUGAGAGGAAAGUGGCGGACGGGCGAGUAACGCGUGAAUAACCUGCCCAUAAGAGGGGGAUAACACAUGGAAACGUGUGCUAAUACCGCAUAUUGAUAUGAUGCCGCAUGGUAACAUAUUGAAAGAUUUAUCGCUUAUGGAUGGAUUCGCGUCAGAUUAGAUAGUUGGUGAGGUAACGGCUCACCAAGUCGACGAUCUGUAGCCGAACUGAGAGGUUGAUCGGCCGCAUUGGGACUGAGACACGGCCCAG
This 345-nucleotide ribosomal RNA is filed under the name uncultured bacterium. RNAcentral's name for it is "bacterial SSU rRNA". It matches the Rfam family "Bacterial small subunit ribosomal RNA", at positions 8 to 334 of the family's 1533-position model. The record is from RNAcentral.